Molecule: ribosomal RNA, 253 nt
Filed under: uncultured bacterium
Lineage: Bacteria
Description: partial 16S ribosomal RNA
Rfam family: Bacterial small subunit ribosomal RNA
Source: RNAcentral
UACAGAGGUCUCAAGCGUUGUUCGGAGUUACUGGGCGUAAAGGGUGCGUAGGUCGCUGCGUAAGUCAGAUGUGAAAUCCGGAGGCUCAACCUCCGGCCUGCAUCCGAAACUGCGCGGCUAGAGUGCUAUAGGGGGGCUUGGAAUUUUCGGUGUAGCAGUGAAAUGCGUAGAUAUCGAAAGGAACACCUCUGGCGAAAGCUGGGCCCUGGGUAGCAACUGACGCUGAUGCACGAAGGCCAAGGGAGCAAACGGG